AUUGCCCUAGUAACGGCGAGUGAAGCGGCAACAGCUCAAAUUUGAAAUCUGGCGUCUUUGGCGUCCGAGUUGUAAUUUGCAGAGGGCGCUUUGGCAUUGGCAGCGGUCCAAGUUCCUUGGAACAGGACGUCACAGAGGGUGAGAAUCCCGUACGUGGUCGCUAGCCUUUACCGUGUAAAGCCCCUUCGACGAGUCGAGUUGUUUGGGAAUGCAGCUCUAAAUGGGAGGUAAAUUUCUUCUAAAGCUAAAUACUGGCCAGAGACCGAUAGCGCACAAGUAGAGUGAUCGAAAGAUGAAAAGCACUUUGGAAAGAGAGUUAAAAAGCACGUGAAAUUGUUGAAAGGGAAGCGCUUGCAGCCAGACUUGCCUGUAGUUGCUCAUCUAGGUUUCUACCUAGUGCACUCUUCUAUAGGCAGGCCAGCAUCAGUUUGGGCGGUUGGAUAAAGGUCUCUGUCAUGUACCUCUCUUCGGGGAGAACUUAUAGGGGAGACGACAUGCAACCAGCCUGGACUGAGGUCCGCGCAUCUGCUAGGAUGCUGGCGUAAUGGCUGUAAGCGGCCCGUCUUGAAACACGGACCAAGGAGUCUAACAUCUAUGCGAGUGUUUGGGUGUCAAGCCCGAGCGCGUAAUGAAAGUGAACGGAGGUGGGAACCUUUCGGGGUGCACCAUCGACCGAUCCUGAUGUCUUCGGAUGGAUUUGAGUAAGAGCAUAGCUGUUGGGACCCGAAAGAUGGUGAACUAUGCUUGAAUAGGGUGAAGCCAGAGGAAACUCUGGUGGAGGCUCGCAGCGGUUCUGACGUGCAAAUCGAUCGUCAAAUUUGGGCAUAGGGGCGAAAGACUAAUCGAACUAUCUAGUAGCUGGUUCCUGCCGAAGUUUCCCUCAGGAUAGCAGUAACGUUUUCAGUUUUAUGAGGUAAAGCGAAUGAUUAGAGGCCUGGGGGUUGAAACAACCUU
Molecule: ribosomal RNA, 954 nt
Filed under: Didymella aquatica
Lineage: Eukaryota; Fungi; Ascomycota; Dothideomycetes; Pleosporales; Didymellaceae
Description: eukaryotic LSU rRNA
Rfam family: Eukaryotic large subunit ribosomal RNA
Source: RNAcentral